RNAcentral lists this long non-coding RNA (463 nucleotides) under Amborella trichopoda. RNAcentral describes it as "long non-coding RNA (ATRI_LNC001398)". The record is from RNAcentral. Lineage: Eukaryota; Viridiplantae; Streptophyta; Magnoliopsida; Amborellales; Amborellaceae.
CAAAAGGGAAUAACAGAGGAUAUUGUAGAGGAUCAUAACAACAACAAUAAUUUGGUAUUAUUAUUAGUUGAUCUGAUCAUGAUCUAUUCUAUACACUCCAUUGUUUAUAUUCGUUGUGUCAUUUCCAUCAAUCCAGAUCCCCACGACUUCUAAUGCAAAAGGUUUGUUGUAUACUCGUUGGUCUAAAUUACUGUUUUUGUGUAGAACAUUGUUAUACUCAUCAAGACUCCCCUGUCCAAUAAGACCUCAAAAUUUAGUCACAAAAGGAUUAUAUUGAGGAUCUAUUCCACGAUUAGUUUCUAUAUAAAUGGACUUAAUUAUUUGAGGUGAUGCCAACUAUUAUUAGUUUCAUUUUCAGUAUCAUAGUAAUAAAUUUGUAAGAAUCUAGGUCGAUGAUCUACAGGUAGAAAUGGUGGAGUAUAGUGAUAUACCUAACCUCUAAUCAUGAAUGUAUAAAUACUAU